RNAcentral lists this ribosomal RNA (496 nucleotides) under uncultured bacterium. RNAcentral's name for it is "partial 16S ribosomal RNA". It matches the Rfam family "Bacterial small subunit ribosomal RNA", at positions 28 to 506 of the family's 1533-position model. The record is from RNAcentral.
GAUGAACGCUGGCGGCGUGCCUAAUACAUGCAAGUCGAGCGAACGGACGAGAAGCUUGCUUCUCUGAUGUUAGCGGCGGACGGGUGAGUAACACGUGGAUAACCUACCUAUAAGACUGGGAUAACUUCGGGAAACCGUAGCUAAUACCGGAUAAUAUUUUGAACCGCAUGGUUCAAAAGUGAAAGACGGUCUUGCUGUCACUUAUAGAUGGAUCCGCGCUGCAUUAGCUAGUUGGUAAGGUAACGGCUUACCAAGGCAACGAUGCAUAGCCGACCUGAGAGAGUGAUCGGCCACACUGGAGCUGCGACCCGGUCCAGAAUCCUUCGGGACGCCGCUGUAGGGAAACUUCCGCAAAGGGCGAAAGCCUGCCGGAGCGACGCCGCGUGAGUGAUGAAGGUCUUCGGAUCGUAAAGCUCUGUUAUUAGGGAAGAACAUAUGUGUAAGUAACUGUGCACAUCUUGACGGUACCUAAUCAGAAAGCCUCGGCUAACUACGU